Leptonychotes weddellii (Weddell seal) is the source of this 104-nucleotide small nuclear RNA. NCBI's taxonomy places the organism in Eukaryota, Metazoa, Chordata, Mammalia, Carnivora, Phocidae. The record is from RefSeq and is a predicted model, not a curated record.
GUACUUGCUUCAGCAGCACAUAUGCUAAAUUUGGAAUGGUACAAAGAUUAGCAUGGCCCCUGCUCAAGGAUGACAUGCAAAUUAAUGAAGCAUUGCAUAUUUUU